GGGUGCAUUAAUGUGAAAUAUUUGCAAGUUCAUUAUUCUCAUAUAAUUAUUGUAAAGUCCGUGCAAUUGAAUGCCAACACUGACAUUUGGUUAAUUUAACCAUCCAGCCCUCUUAUAUUGGACUUGAAAUUAGAUAGAAAAUGAUUAGAAAAAUGAAAAAUUGUAUGAUAAAGAAUAGGCCAAAUAACAAAGAUAUGUGAUCACGCAUAAAAGUACACGAAAACUUUUCUUGCAAACAAGUAGCUAAAGUUCUCCAUUACAUUUUAUCAAAAUAUAGACAAACUUACUAUCUGAA
This 295-nucleotide long non-coding RNA is filed under the name Elaeis guineensis (African oil palm). RNAcentral's name for it is "long non-coding RNA (EGUI_LNC030376)". The record is from RNAcentral. Lineage: Eukaryota; Viridiplantae; Streptophyta; Magnoliopsida; Arecales; Arecaceae.